UUCCAAAGACAUCAAGAUGCUGAUCUUGAUGAAGAUCAUAGAUGAAGAUCGUCUAUGAAGACAAAGAGAAUGGAAAGAGCAUCUCUGUGGUUGUAGGAGAUAAUCAGGCAGGAGCCUGCUAGGAAGAUUUCUCAGGAUAGCUACCUAAACAUUAAGCAGUUCAGCUGCUGAAUAGCCAGUGUCAUCUGGAUUUGAAAGGAGACAGAUCUGCAAAAAAUACUGAGAU
Molecule: long non-coding RNA, 226 nt
Organism: Cyanistes caeruleus (blue tit)
Lineage: Eukaryota; Metazoa; Chordata; Aves; Passeriformes; Paridae
Source: RefSeq, a predicted model, not a curated record